Molecule: ribosomal RNA, 673 nt
Filed under: Streptomyces tritolerans
Lineage: Bacteria; Bacillati; Actinomycetota; Actinomycetes; Kitasatosporales; Streptomycetaceae
Description: bacterial SSU rRNA
Rfam family: Bacterial small subunit ribosomal RNA
Source: RNAcentral
CCAUUUCGGUGGGGAUUAGUGGCGAACGGGUGAGUAACACGUGGGCAAUCUGCCCUGCACUCUGGGACAAGCCCUGGAAACGGGGUCUAAUACCGGAUACUGACCCUCGCAGGCAUCUGCGAGGUUCGAAAGCUCCGGCGGUGCAGGAUGAGCCCGCGGCCUAUCAGCUUGUUGGUGAGGUAAUGGCUCACCAAGGCGACGACGGGUAGCCGGCCUGAGAGGGCGACCGGCCACACUGGGACUGAGACACGGCCCAGACUCCUACGGGAGGCAGCAGUGGGGAAUAUUGCACAAUGGGCGAAAGCCUGAUGCAGCGACGCCGCGUGAGGGAUGACGGCCUUCGGGUUGUAAACCUCUUUCAGCAGGGAAGAAGCGAAAGUGACGGUACCUGCAGAAGAAGCGCCGGCUAACUACGUGCCAGCAGCCGCGGUAAUACGUAGGGCGCAAGCGUUGUCCGGAAUUAUUGGGCGUAAAGAGCUCGUAGGCGGCUUGUCGCGUCGGUUGUGAAAGCCCGGGGCUUAACCCCGGGUCUGCAGUCGAUACGGGCAGGCUAGAGUUCGGUAGGGGAGAUCGGAAUUCCUGGUGUAGCGGUGAAAUGCGCAGAUAUCAGGAGGAACACCGGUGGCGAAGGCGGAUCUCUGGGCCGAUACUGACGCUGAGGAGCGAAAGCGUG